RNAcentral lists this small RNA (117 nucleotides) under Pongo abelii (Sumatran orangutan). RNAcentral describes it as "Metazoan signal recognition particle RNA (ENSPPYG00000041241.1)". The record is from Rfam by way of RNAcentral. Lineage: Eukaryota; Metazoa; Chordata; Mammalia; Primates; Hominidae.
GCCGGGUGUGGUGGCUCACACCUGUAAUCCCAGCACUUUAGGAGGCUGAGGUGGGCGGAUCACCUGAGGUCAGGAGUUUGAGACCAGCCUGACCAACAUGGAGAAACCCCAUCUCUA